GGAAGUAAAAGUCGUAACAAGGUUUCCGUAGGUGAACCUGCGGAAGGAUCAUUACAUUCAGUAGCCUAGCUACUUGUUUACACCCUUGUUUUUGCGUACCUAUUGUUUCCUCGGCGGGCUUGCUCGCCGGUUGGACAAAACUAUAACCUUUUUUAAAUCUUCAAUCAGCGUCUGAAUUAUACAUAAUAAUUACAACUUUCAACAACGGAUCUCUUGGUUCUGGCAUCGAUGAAGAACGCAGCGAAAUGCGAUAAGUAGUGUGAAUUGCAGAAUUCAGUGAAUCAUCGAAUCUUUGAACGCACAUUGCGCCCCUUGGUAUUCCAUGGGGCAUGCCUGUUCGAGCGUCAUUUGUACCCUCAAGCUUUGCUUGGUGUUGGGCGUCUUGUCUUGUAUUAGACUCGCCUUAAAGUCAUUGGCAGCCAGUGUUUUUGGUAGUAAGCGCAGCACAUUUUGCGUCUUAGUCCUUGAAUCGUGGCAUCCAUGAAGCCUUUUUUUCACUUUUGACCUCGGAUCAGGUAGGGAUACCCGCUGAACUUAAGCAUAUCAAUAAGCGGAGGA
Molecule: ribosomal RNA, 558 nt
Filed under: uncultured fungus
Lineage: Eukaryota; Fungi
Description: eukaryotic LSU rRNA
Rfam family: 5.8S ribosomal RNA (bases 194-347)
Source: RNAcentral